This 584-nucleotide small RNA is filed under the name Pongo abelii (Sumatran orangutan). RNAcentral describes it as "retained intron". The record is from RNAcentral. Lineage: Eukaryota; Metazoa; Chordata; Mammalia; Primates; Hominidae.
AAUUCCCCAGCCCAGGUCCUCCUCUCACCCCGCCGGGUUUUCAAGGCGGGCUGUAACUGGUGGCAUUUGUCCCGGGACCAGGUCCACAGUUUUAUAUGUGAGCAAGAUGGAGGCUGACCCAUCUGGCUUUAACAUCGAUGCCCCCCGUUGGGACCAGCGCACCUUCCUGGGGAGAGUGAAGCACUUCCUAAACAUCACGGACCCCCGCACUGUCUUUGUAUCUGAGCGAGAGCUGGACUGGGCCAAGGUGAUGGUGGAGAAGAGCAGGAUGGGGGUUGUGCCCCCAGGCACCCAAGUGGAGCAGCUGCUGUAUGCCAAGAAGCUAUAUGACUCGGCCUUCCACCCCGACACUGGGGAGAAGAUGAAUGUCAUCGGGCGCAUGUCUUUCCAGCUCCCUGGCGGCAUGAUCCUCACGGGCUUCAUGCUCCAGUUCUACAGGACUAUGCCGGCGGUGAUCUUCUGGCAGUGGGUGAACCAGUCCUUUAAUGCCUUAGUCAACUACACCAACAGGAAUGCGGCUUCCCCCACAUCAGUCAGGUAGGAGACCUGAGCCCCAGGCUGUCCUCGUGUCUUCCCACGAACAG